UGGAUCACCUCCUAACAGGGAGACAACAAAAUGUUUAAUAUUAUUAUUUUGUCACCUUAGGUCGAUCGGUAUCUCACGUUUUUAAUUUAUUAAGAAUUUCAUUUCCUAAGUUUUUCUAGGUCACACCCAUUAUUUUUCCUGGGCCAUUAGCUCAGGUGGUUAGAGCGCACCCCUGAUAAGGGUGAGGUCCCUGGUUCAAGUCCAGGAUGGCCCAUAUCUCUAUGUUGGGGGUAUAGCUCAGUUGGUAGAGCGCCUGCUUUGCAAGCAGGAUGUCAGCGGUUCGAGUCCGCUUACCUCCACUGAUUACCACCUCUUCCAUAACCGGUAGAAAGGAAAUGUUUUGAGUCGUGAUCAAAUUCUGAAAGAAUCUAGCUUCCUAAUGAAAUCAUUAAGAUGCUGGACUCAUUGAAUUAAUUUCAUUGUUUUCAGAGAACCUUGACAACUGCAUAGAUUAUUUUUUAAAGACAAUAAGCAUCUUUAAUGAUGCAGAUUUAUUAUUUGUGCGAAUGCAUUAAUAACAAUUCUAUUAAGCUGAUGCUUCAAUUUUUGAAGUUAUUGGUCAAGCUACAAAGGGCUCACGGAGGAUACCUAGGCACACAGAGGCGAUGAAGG
Molecule: transfer RNA, 612 nt
Filed under: uncultured Prochlorococcus sp.
Lineage: Bacteria; Bacillati; Cyanobacteriota; Cyanophyceae; Synechococcales; Prochlorococcaceae
Description: partial contains 16S ribosomal RNA, 16S-23S ribosomal RNA intergenic spacer, and 23S ribosomal RNA
Rfam family: tRNA (bases 227-299)
Source: RNAcentral